Molecule: ribosomal RNA, 465 nt
Filed under: uncultured bacterium
Lineage: Bacteria
Description: partial 16S ribosomal RNA
Rfam family: Bacterial small subunit ribosomal RNA
Source: RNAcentral
GACGAACGCUGGCGGCGUGCUUAACACAUGCAAGUCGAACGGAAAGGCCCUGCUUGCAGGGUACUCGAGUGGCGAACGGGUGAGUAACACGUGGGUGAUCUGCCCUGCACUUCGGGAUAAGCCUGGGAAACUGGGUCUAAUACCGGAUAGGAGCCAUUUUUAGUGUGAUGGUUGGAAAGUUUUUUCGGUGAAGGAUGAGCUCGCGGCCUAUCAGCUUGUUGGUGGGGUAAUGGCCUACCAAGGCGGCGACGGGUAGCCGGCCUGAGAGGGUGGACGGCCACAUUGGGACUGAGAUACGGCCCAGACUCCUACGGGAGGCAGCAGUGGGGAAUAUUGCACAAUGGGCGCAAGCCUGAUGCAGCGACGCCGCGUGGGGGAUGACGGCCUUCGGGUUGUAAACUCCUUUCGCUAGGGACGAAGCUUUUUGUGACGGUACCUAGAUAAGAAGCACCGGCUAACUACGUG